Molecule: ribosomal RNA, 728 nt
Filed under: uncultured fungus
Lineage: Eukaryota; Fungi
Description: eukaryotic LSU rRNA
Rfam family: 5.8S ribosomal RNA (bases 188-341)
Source: RNAcentral
CCGUAGGUGACCUGCGGAAGGAUCAUUACAGAGUUCAUGCCCUCACGGGUAGAUCUCCCACCCUUGAAUAUUAUACCUUUGUUGCUUUGGCGGGCCGCUUUAGCUACCGGCUUCGGCUGGUGAGUGCCCGCCAGAGGGCCUAAAACUCUGAAUUUAUAGUGUCGUCUGAGUACUAUAUAAUAGUUAAAACUUUCAACAACGGAUCUCUUGGUUCUGGCAUCGAUGAAGAACGCAGCGAAAUGCGAUAAGUAAUGUGAAUUGCAGAAUUCAGUGAAUCAUCGAAUCUUUGAACGCACAUUGCGCCCCUUGGUAUUCCGAGGGGCAUGCCUGUUCGAGCGUCAUAUAAACCCCUCAAGCUCAGCUUGGUGUUGGGGCCUGCCGCCUGGCAGCCCUUAAAAUCAGUGGCGGUGCCAUCUGGCUCUAAGCGUAGUAAUUCUUCUCGCUAUGGAGUCCCGGUGGAUGCUUGCCAUUAACCCCCAAUUUUCUAUGGUUGACCUCGGAUCAGGUAGGGAUACCCGCUGAACUUAAGCAUAUCCAUAAGCGGGAGGAAAAGAAACCAACAGGGAUUGCCUUCAGUAACGGCGAGUGAAGCGGCCACAGCUCAAAUUUGAAAUCUGGCUCUUUCAGGGUUCGAGUUUGUAAUUUUGUAGAAGAUGCUUCGGGGUGUGGCUCCGGUCUAAGUUUCUUGGAACCAGGACGUUCAUAGAGGGGUGAGAAUCUCCGUAUGU